UGGGGGCGCAGUCACGCCGGGGCCGACCGGCCGCGAACGCCCGCGGGGAGCGGGAGAGGGUUUGCUCUGGCUACGGAGCUGGGAGCAGGGUGCUGGUGACGGGGCUCCCAGCACCUACUCAGUACCCUUCACCCAACCCCUGCCUCGGGCGUGGACUCCCGGCGGAGGCUCUGGGAGCCGGGCUGAGGGCUUGAGCCUAGCGUAUCUGGGAGAACUGGAGAGAGGAGUCUCAGAUGGCUAAAGUCAGGGGCGCCAGUUGGAGAGCCGGUGGCUCCUCCGAUACUCACACGCCCGGAUUUAACCAGUUCAGGGAGGGCCCAGAACCUAGACCUCCACCAGUCAUGGUGGGCUGUGUCUCCCACCUCCCCAGGGCAACCCAGAUCCAGCCCCCAACCUACCCCGGGCCCAUUCCUGUGUGGGCACCCGGACCCUACCCUUGCCCCACAGAGUGGCCCGCAGCCCCUGGCGGGGAGAGCAAGGGCUGUGAUUGGGGCCCAACAGAAACAGGAUAUUCAGAAGGGGCUUUCCCUCCUGAGGGACCACAUCUCCAAGCUUCAGACUUCCAGACAAGUCCCAGGGCACGGACGUGACCCAUUACGAACAGGCAGUGAAGCUGUGGCAGGGCUGGAGCUGCCCCAGGCUCUGGCAUCAUCCCCGAGGGCUGGAGCUCACUCCCCGCUAGAGGCUUUUCCGGACCCCACGUCCACAGGCAGGUGCAUCUGGUGAAGCUUUCGGCCACAGUGAGUCAUGGCAUAGCCAACGGGUGACACAGCACGAGGCACCCCCCCCGCCCCCCUCCACUGUCUCUUGUGAGCAGAGUUAAUCCCCAAGCUGGUGUUUCUUGGCGCCUUCGAGGUGUAUUUUAAAUUCUGCAAAGUGACUAAAAAUAUGCUUCAGCGUGCUGGGUAUGAAUGACUGUGACGGGAGGGUUAGGAAAACAGAUUUCAUUCUCAAAGUUGCCUGCUGCCUCUUUCCAGCUCGCUGAGCUCAGGCCUGCAAAGGCGGAUGGGGGGAGUUCCCCAUGGUGGCCUGGCAUGACGGGUGAUUAACAAACAAGGACAGAGAGCUAGGAGCUCCGUGGGGCUAGAACCCGGCCCCAGCAAUGAUCUCGUAAGUGUGUGAUGGUGCCAGCAGGUGGACAGAGUCCAGCUGUGGGAGGCUGCCCAGCUGUGGAACUGUGUCUAGUGGUGAAGGAGGCACAACCACAACUCUAGACCCAAGCCCAGGGUCCCCUUCCCGUGCCCCAAAACUCCUCAUCCCUUUGGCCACAGUCCUGUCCAGGUGGACACUUUCGGCCUUGACAGAAAGGGGAGCAUUCUCUUUCUGCUGCCUUCCCUUUUCACCACUGGGAAGGUCCCAGAGCAGGGGAAGAGGGUGGCAUGAGCCUUUCAAACCUGGGGGACCUCUGAGCUGCCACCAAGCAAGCCAGCCCUUCCCACUGUGUUUCACUGGGGUUUCAACUCAAAGGCAGCCUCUAGAAUAAGUCCUUGUGUGGGAUAAGGGGCCACCAAGGGCAGAGGGACAGGGAGGACAAGAAGCCCUUUCUGGUUGUGCAGCCCAGGACAAAUCCCUACAGCCUUCUGAGAAGCUCUGGCAGUAACCUGGGGCUGUCAGACAGAGGACUGGUAGGGUUCUUUCCUCCAUCUCGCCAAUGAAGAAACUGAGGCCCAGGGAAAAGAAGUAAUUUGCCCAAGGUCGAACACCUGGUAAAUGACAGUGCAUGGACUAAACCCAGGAACCCAGCACAGAAACAGCUUCCUCCGGGAAGCCUUCCCCGGCCCACCUGAACAACCAUUUCCUCCUCUGGGCUAUUGAGUAACCUGUGUAUCCUUCCAUCACACCAACACUGUGCUGAUUUUUGUCUGUGCAAGAAUCUGUCCCCCGCCCUUCACCAACAGACCGUGAGCCUCGAGGGCCCGUACCCUUUCUGAUUCAUCUCCACGAGCCAGUACAGAGGAGGUGCUCAAAGAAUGUUUGUUGAUUGAAUGAGUAAAUGACAUUUAGCAGGUGCUCAGGAAAUGUACAUUGAUUUGCAUCACGCGUCUGUUGCUCUGAAUGACUCAGAAACCAGAUUCGUCUCCUGGUUCCUCUGGAAAAGGCAUUUUCUUCCUGAUUGACUCCACCCUCCAUUAGCUUCCACCUGCUGUUUGCCUCCACCCUUUGAUUAGCCUUCCCCGCAGGUCACCACCCACGGUGGGGAGAAGGCACCUCCUCUCUGCUCUUGCUGUUGCCAAGCUGAGGACUGGUUGGGGCCCCCGUUCCCUCCCCCAGCCCGAGCCUAUCUUUGCUCAGAACGCUUCGUCUCUGCCUCUCUCUCCUGCUCAGAACAGAUGGCUCUGAGUCCCCACUAACACAGAAGUUCCUGUUCUGCCAUUUGAACAUUUUUAACACUUUCUACAUUACAGAAGCUUCAGUCUCUUUUCAUCAUGGAUGCAGACUAUCAGAAAUAAAGACUCCACCGAAGGGCAUCGAGUCCAGCCUCUUCCCCAUCCCAUGGAGAGGCUGCACCUCAGAGAUGGCCAGUGGCCUGCCCGAGAUAUUGUAGUGGAUGCUACCUUUGUUUUUGU
RNAcentral lists this long non-coding RNA (2567 nucleotides) under Homo sapiens (human). RNAcentral's name for it is "HSALNT0388132". Lineage: Eukaryota; Metazoa; Chordata; Mammalia; Primates; Hominidae. The record is from RNAcentral.